GUGUUCAGGAUGUUUUUAGCGUUUCGUGACAUGGAGGACUGCGCGGUGUCAGAUCAGUAAAUGAAAUGUGUUUUCUUUGAGUUAUAAGUGAAAUAGAGUAGAACAUAGCGUGGAAAUAGGCGACUCAAAUGAGAUUUUGUUCCAGUGAAAUUUCUGCCGUGCAAAUCGCUCGUGAAAACAAAGAUAAGAAAUGUUUGGUGUUUACCUAAAAAUGUAUUGAUAAAUGGAGCCGCUGCAAAGCCUGCAAUUGGAGGACUCUAGUUAUGACUUUCAGUGGAUUAAUGUCAGGUUGGAUAUUCAUCUUGCGCCAGGGAAACACUAUUCUCUAGAAGAGGCUUCUCAAAGGAGCACCAAUGAAACCACGAAAACUCAGAAAAUUUGUCUUUAAAAAACGUUUAUCGUCUAAGCGAAUUUGAUUUCUACAGUGUCAACCACUUUAAAUGUGCACCGCAAUCACACCUAUUGAAUUGUGGCCACAAUGCGUUUCCAUACAGCUUAGUAUUGCAGAUUUCCCUGUAGUUGAAGAAAGUAAAUAUCCUAUAGGGGAUGCUAAUACCUUAGGGGUAACGGUUGCACACCAUCCCUGAUUUCAAACAGUUUCCGCAGGAAGACCAUUGCGCUAAAAGGGAAGAAGGAGCAACAAAUCUAGUGCAUUGGGACGGAAAUCCAGCAAAGUAAACUUUAGAUACGAAAUACCAAUUUCAUUUGUUAUGAAAUAUUAAUUGCGAUCCUAGCAAGCGCGUGCUCCAACGCGAACAUUUAUUCAUAUAAAGCGGGAAAACUAUUCUAAAAACCAUUACGGCACCAAAUUAUCACGAUCAGACUAAUGCACUCAGUAUUUCAAAACGUUAAUGGAUUACCUUCUCCAUCUUCGUACAUUGCUUCCACGUUUUCCUUCGCCGAACCAGCUUUGUUGAUAUUUCAGACGAAAUACCGCGGUAUACUGACGAGAAGUCUUUAUUGGAUAGCGAUGUGUGCGUUUACAUAAUGGUGAAAAUCCUAUUGUGAAAAUUGUGUGCUCUUCUUCUUGUUGGAGUGAUUGGAAAAUAUGAGCUUUGUGGUUUUGUUGCGAUAAUUAAAAAUAGCAAUAAAUGAAA
Molecule: long non-coding RNA, 1097 nt
Organism: Hermetia illucens (black soldier fly)
Lineage: Eukaryota; Metazoa; Arthropoda; Insecta; Diptera; Stratiomyidae
Exons: 6
Source: RefSeq, a predicted model, not a curated record